ACGGAACUACUCCGAUGAGAAUCUUCGGAAAGCUUUUGAUUUAGUUUAGUGGCGGACGGGUGAGUAACGCGUGGGUAACCUGCCCUAUACAGGGGGAUAACAGUUGUCAACGACUGUUAAUACCGCAUAAGCGCACAGGAGCGCAUGCUCCGGUGUGAAAAACUCCGGUGGUAUAGGAUGGACCCGCGUCUGAUUAGCUGGUUGGCGGGGUAAGGGCCCACCAAGGCGACGAUCAGUAGCCGGCCUGAGAGGGUGAACGGCCACAUUGGGACUGAGACACGGCCCAAACUCCUACGGGAGGCAGCAGUGGGGAAUAUUGCACAAUGGGGGGAAUCCUGAUGCAGCGACGCCGCGUGAGCGAAGAAGUAUUUCGGUAUGUAAAGCUCUAUCAUCAGGGAAGAAAAUGACGGUACCUGACUAAGAAGCCCCGGCUAACUACGUGCCAGCAGCCGCGGUAAUACGUAGGGGGCAAGCGUUAUCCGGAUUUACUGGGUGUAAAGGGAGCGCAGGCGGCGCGGUAAGUCUGAUGUGAAAGCCCGGGGCUCAACCCCGGGACUGCAUUGGAAACUGUCGUGCUGGAGUGUCGGAGGGGCAAGCGGAAUU
This 603-nucleotide ribosomal RNA is filed under the name uncultured bacterium. Its description in RNAcentral is "bacterial SSU rRNA". It matches the Rfam family "Bacterial small subunit ribosomal RNA", at positions 66 to 668 of the family's 1533-position model. The record is from RNAcentral.